CCAGUCCGGUACAGGUCAGGUACAGGUGAGCCCAGUCAGGUAAAGGUCAGGUACAGGUGAGCCCAGUCAGGUAAAGGUCAGGUACAGGUGAGCCCAGUCAGGUAAAGGUCAGGUACAGGUGAGCCCAGUGUGGUACAGGUGAGCCCAGUGUGGUACAGGUGAGCCCAGUGUGGUACAGGUGAGCCCAGUGUGGUACAGGUGAGCCCAGUGUGGUACAGGUGAGCCCAGUCAGGUACAGGUGAGCCCAGUCAGGUACCUGUCAGGUACAGGUGAGCCCAGUCAGGUACAGGUGAGCCCAGUCAGGUAAAGGUCAGGUACAGGUGAGCCCAGUCAGGUAAAGGUCAGGUACAGGUGAGCCCAGUGUGGUACAGGUGAGCCCAGUCAGGUAAAGGUCAGGUACAGGUGAGCCCAGUCAUGUACAGGUGAGCCCAGUCAUGUACAGGUGAGCCCAGUCAGGUACAGGUGAGCCCAGUCAGGUACAGGUGAGCCCAGUCAGGUACCUGUCAGGUACAGCAGGUAGCCUCUCUGGGACCAGGGAAGGUGUUGCUGUCAGU
Long non-coding RNA from Fundulus heteroclitus (mummichog), 554 nucleotides. RefSeq lists it as uncharacterized. The record is from RefSeq and is a predicted model, not a curated record. The transcript has 3 exons. NCBI's taxonomy places the organism in Eukaryota, Metazoa, Chordata, Actinopteri, Cyprinodontiformes, Fundulidae.